UUCUUUUAUUCAUGUUAUGUUUCAGAUAUCAAUGAGACACUCAGCCAGAGUUGUCUGAUAGGAAGUUGAUAAGGCAAGCAUAAGACAAGCUCAGAAGAGAGACUGGGAUUGGAUAUAUAGAACUAGAAAUUAUCCACCUAAUGAUAAUAAUCGAAUGUAUGCCACGUCAGGACAAGGGCUACUUGCUUUGUUGUUGUUACCUAUCCUGCCUUAUAAUCUUUCACAGAGUUCUGAGUUCAAGUUGCAGGCUGAUGCAGAAUAUGCUGAUUGGACCUAAGACCUUAGACUUGGUGAAACUGUCCUUGAAUCUCUCCCUUUGGACAUGAAUUUAAGAUUUGGAAGUGACCCCACUGGUCAUCUCAUCCAAAACAAAAAUGAGUGCUUAUCAUUGUGGUAGAGGAUGGGCCUCUAUUUUAAGAUCUUUCAGUAAAAGGAGCCUACCACUCCCUGAGACAACUCACUCCACUUUUGGACAGCUCUCAUGAUUAUGGAAGGAAGAAAAGAAGGAAGAAAGAAGGAAGGAAACCUCAAGUGCCUAUUGUAUGGAUUUCCAAGUAAAGCAUCAGAGGAACUUUGUCAUUUUCUUUCAAAAUGUGGAAUUGGAAUUCAGAAUGAUUGGACCACUUCACAACUUCUGCCUUCCCAGAACUAUGUAAACAUUGACUGUUUUAUUCUUUGUGAUCUUUGUCAAUUUGGGAAUUGUGAGGUAAAAUUAGAGAAUUGUUUAUUUUGAGUAUCUUACUAUUAUGAUUUGGAGAAAGGUUCAAGCCAUUUACAUGUAUCUUGGCUCUUAUUUGGUAAAUUGUUUGUAUUUUUUAAUUUUUUAGUGAAAUUUAUUUUAUUAUGGUUUCAUCUGGUCUUUUAUUGGUACUUUAUGGAAAUCCUGAUUAUUCUUGGGGCUGAUUUUGUAUAUUACUAUCCCAAUGAUUCUAUUAAUCAUCUCAAUAAGGUUAUUUGCUCUUUGUUCUUUUCCUUUUGUAGGAAAUCAUCAUGGCAUCUUCACAUCAGGAUAGUUUUCUGACAUUUUAUUCCCUUCUUUUAAGUUCUGUCUGCCAACCUUAGAUCUAUGCCAAAGAAUAUUGGUGACAGAAGGCAUCUUUCCUUUUCUUUUUUUUUAAUUAAAAACCCUUACCUUUUGUCUUAUAAUCCAUACUAAGUAUAUUUUGGGGUAGAGUCUAGGAAAUGUGGUUAAAUGAUGUGUCCAAAGGUUACAUAAAUAAGAAGUGGCUGAUGUCAAAUUUGAAAUCAGGACCUCCCACAUCUCUAACAACUCAGUCUCCUAGCUUCCCUAAGGCAUACUUUUUAAAAUCCCUGCUUUUUCUGGGAAAUGCUUUAGUUUUUGCCCCAAAUAAACAGAAUUAUUUGAUUUUAAACA
This 1375-nucleotide long non-coding RNA is filed under the name Monodelphis domestica (gray short-tailed opossum). RNAcentral describes it as "lncRNA (ENSMODG00000047068.1)". The record is from RNAcentral. Lineage: Eukaryota; Metazoa; Chordata; Mammalia; Didelphimorphia; Didelphidae.